RNAcentral lists this long non-coding RNA (1355 nucleotides) under Homo sapiens (human). RNAcentral's name for it is "HSALNT0103648". Lineage: Eukaryota; Metazoa; Chordata; Mammalia; Primates; Hominidae. The record is from RNAcentral.
CCAAAGUGAUUGUGGCUACUUAAACUUUUACAAUAAAUGUGUAAUACUUGAUGUUGAUGAUGUGUUCUGAAAACACUGUGUUGAAGGAAUUGAGUUAAAAGCCACUGUCUUGGCUGUAGAAUUAUAGCAGGCAUUUUUAUUCAGACUCUGUUAAUAACUUCCUGUUGUUUACUUGUUUCUCAUAUACAUGACAUUAUAUUUUUGACAUAUAGAUUCAGAAAAUGCUUACUUACAACCCAAUCACAUAGAGUUAUUUUAUAUAUUAGGAAAAUUUCAUAAUAAAAAGGAAAAAAUGGAGGAAGAGAGAGAAAGAAGGAGGAAUGGAGGAAAAAGCAAAAGAAGAAAAGAAGGAAGGGGAGGGGAAGGAAAGGGAGAAAGAAGGAGGGAAGGCGAUAGUUUGAAUGGAAAUAGAGAAGAAAGAGAUGGAGGGAGGGCUAGAAGGAAGGAGAAAGGGAAGGAAGAGGCCAGGCACAGUGGCUCAUGCCUGUAAUCCCAGUCUUUGGGAGGCUGAGGCAGGCAGAUCACGAGGUCAGGAGAUAGAGACCAUCCUGGCUAACAUGGUGAAACCCUGUCUCUACUAAAAAUACAAAAAAUUAGCCGGGCAUGGUGGCAGGUGCCUGUAGUCCCAGCUACUUGGAAAGCUGAGGCAGGAGAAUGGCAUGAACCUGGGAGGCAGAGCUUGCAGUGAGCCGAGAUCGAGCCACUGCACUCCAGCCUGGGCGACAGAACGAGACUUUGUCUCAAAAAAAAAAAAAAAAAAAAAGAAAAGAAAAGAAAAAAGAAAAAAAAAGGAUGGAACAAAGGAGAAAAGAAACUAAAAUAAAGAAAAGAAUAGGUGUUGAGAAACUAGAAACCUAUGUGUGGCUAAUAUUAUCAAAAUAGGAGAAAAUAAAACAGAUGUAGUUAACCUCUAGAGAAUAAUGGAAAUGUAAGAGGGCUUCAUUAGUUAUCCAUUGCUGUGUAACAAACUACUCCCAAAUUUAGUGACUUGGGAUCACUAAAUGAGGGAUCGUGUUCCCGUCAUUCCCUCAGAGAUUUUAUCCCUUAAUUGCGUCUUCCCGUCAUUGCCUCAGAGAUUUUAUCCCUUAAUUGUGUCAGAGAGCAGUGUGGAACCUCAGAGUCACUCUCUGGUACAGGAUCUGGAAACUGAGGAGGAUUCUUCUCCCUCAGGACCAGAGGGAGGGUGAUAUUCUAGUGUUGGUCCCAUCUGUCUCCCAUCCUUGUGGGAGGCCAGCCCGGGAGAUUACAGGCGAUCAGGGAGGCGCCCGUGGUCCCUGGUACAGGUGUGCUGCAGUGUCUCCUUCCUGUUCUCCAGGUAUCUGCGGAGCCACUCCACGCACCUGCCCUCCAGGUAG